GAUGAACGCUAGCGGUAUGCCUAACACAUGCAAGUUGAACGAAAGCUUCUGCUUUAGUAGCGGACGGGUGAGUAAUGCAUGAGAAUCUACCUUUGGGAGGGGAAUAACAAUUGGAAACAGCUGCUAAUGCCCCAUAUGCUGGAAAGUGAAAAAGAGUAAUCUGCCCGAAGAUGAGCUCAUGUCUGAUUAGCUAGUUGGUAGAUUAAAAGCCUACCAAGGCUACGAUCAGUAGCUGGUUUGAGAGGAUGAUCAGCCACACUGGGACUGAGAUACGGCCCAGACUUCUACGGAAGGCAGCAGUGGGGAAUUUUCCGCAAUGGGCGAAAGCCUGACGGAGCAAUACCGCGUGAGGGAAGAAUGCCUGUGGGUUGUAAACUUCUUUUUUUAGGGAAGAAAAUUUGACGGUACCUAAAGAAUAAGCAUCGGCUAACUCCGUGCCAGCAGCCGCGGUAAU
Molecule: ribosomal RNA, 454 nt
Filed under: uncultured bacterium
Lineage: Bacteria
Description: bacterial SSU rRNA
Rfam family: Bacterial small subunit ribosomal RNA
Source: RNAcentral